AAUUCAACAUCUCCGCCAUACAUGUUUCUAUCCCAAUCAUAUUGCUGAUCUUUGAAGCUUGGAGCCGGUAUGUUGGACUAGACGAAUUAAGUGCCAUAUGAUUGUGAUAGAAGCAUAUAUGGCGAAGAUCUUAAAUUGA
Molecule: non-coding RNA, 139 nt
Organism: Brachypodium distachyon (stiff brome)
Lineage: Eukaryota; Viridiplantae; Streptophyta; Magnoliopsida; Poales; Poaceae
Source: RefSeq, marked provisional